ACUUUAAAUCUGUCUGAAAUAAUCCCAAUGCUCACAGAUUAAACACCACAAUCUGACAGAAUUCUUCUGUUAAAAACAGUGACUCAUACAAGUUCUCCUCUCCUUCUCCAGUUCGCCUGGCCGAGGUCAAUAAAUCAGGUGAGGAAGAGGAAAGGCCGCGCCCUCGGAGCCUGACGGAGCAGACGACUCCAUCUGGAUCAUAAUCGGCCUGCUGUUCACCGAGGACUGCGGGAACUCGCAUUAAUACGAUGACGCGGCGCUUUAUCUCUCGCAGAUCUGAGUCCUGGUGGGAUUUUCUGCUCCGACGGCUCCAGAUUUGAUUCCACCGACUCACUGGAACUGAAAAUUCGCAAAGUCAUGCUCAUAAAUCUGAAUCCCAUUUACUGAGCGCUGGUGUUGGUUCUACGGCAGCGAAGGCCAAACUUCUUUUCAACGAUUUAUAUUUCCACCUAAACGUCUUCUCCCAGAUUCCACGCCUGUCUGAUUCCACCACCUUUGUUUACCUGCACAGACGACAGCCGGUCCGGUGCGGGCCAAUCACGUGGCUCGGCUCAAACGAGUGCUCGGGAUCACCUGGUUUGUGAUGGAUUUUCAUCCUUUGAGAUGAGUAGCUUUAAGGACGGGCUUUGACCUGUGCUGCUACUCGUCUGAUAAAUGAUGUAAGAGGUCCUGAUCUCAUCACCGAUACAUAAAAAACCCACAGAGGCUCACAUUUCAUCAGUGACAGCAGAACAACCUGUCUGCUCUCGGUUCAACACCACCACAUUUAAUCUGGGCUCCGUCAAGCCUUUCACCGCCCACGGACAUUAUUUACCAGCUGCUGUUUUAAACAAGGUAAUUGUGAUUUUGAUCCUUCAUUGUUAACAUUUCGAGUGUCUCUAUUGCAGUUAAUAUCGUCCCCCUGCUGUGGAAAAUGGGCAAAACUUAAACACUCUUAGUGAAAUUAAGUGGUGUGUGUGCGCGCGUGUGAACGACAACAAUCAGGUUUCCCUCAGAGAAAUGGAGGUCACCUCUGAGUCUUCUGGACAAAGUUCUCCAACCCAAAUGUUCUGGGUUGUUGAAGACUCUAAAAGGCAGCAAGUUACAUUUAUGUCCCAAUCAGUGGUGACAAGCAGAUGGCCCACCGCUGAUCUAUUAUAGCUCUGCAGCUCUUAGUGCUGUCAGCCCGUCUCCAGUUAGCUGCGAUGAAGAGGAAAUAUGGGCCAUCACUGAUCCUGCAGCUCUGGAGCAGCCUGAUGUAAAUUCCUCAUGUAUGAAUGACUCGUGUAGAUCGCGUCUUUAUGGCCGCUCGUAUCGACAGGACGGGACUUAUGGAGCAAUCUCCUCAUUUAAAGAAGUCGUUGCUUAAGAUGAGAGGAACGGGCAGCAGUGUAAACACCUGAUGAAGAGGACAGCUCCACCUAUUCAUGCUGGUUCUGCUCAACACAACAGAACAUUUACAACAAUUAAAGACGUGCUGCCGGUGUGAGAAGGAGAAACCAGGGAUUUUGGACCAGCCGAUGUGAAAUUACUGAAUCACUUGUUAAAGAAAAGCAUUUAUUACUUGUAGGAGAGCAACAGUACGAUCAUUUCUAAACCAUCUGGGUUCGAGUACAGGUAACCAGACCAAGGACAGGAAGUGAAAACAGGAAGGGGUGAACAUUUUGUUUA
Molecule: long non-coding RNA, 1650 nt
Organism: Austrofundulus limnaeus
Lineage: Eukaryota; Metazoa; Chordata; Actinopteri; Cyprinodontiformes; Rivulidae
Exons: 3
Source: RefSeq, a predicted model, not a curated record